This 246-nucleotide ribosomal RNA is filed under the name Stenotrophomonas maltophilia. RNAcentral's name for it is "partial 16S ribosomal RNA". It matches the Rfam family "Bacterial small subunit ribosomal RNA", at positions 741 to 985 of the family's 1533-position model. Lineage: Bacteria; Pseudomonadati; Pseudomonadota; Gammaproteobacteria; Lysobacterales; Lysobacteraceae. The record is from RNAcentral.
UGACACUGAGGCACGAAAGCGUGGGGAGCAAACAGGAUUAGAUACCCUGGUAGUCCACGCCCUAAACGAUGCGUGCUGAAUGUUGGAUGCUUUCCGCCCCUCAGUGCCGCAGCUAACGCGUUAAGUUCUCCGCCUGGGGAGUACGGUCGCAAGACUGAAACUCAAAGGAAUUGACGGGGGCCCGCACAAGCGGUGGAGUAUGUGGUUUAAUUCGAUGCAACGCGAAGAACCUUACCUGGUCUUGAC